RNAcentral lists this ribosomal RNA (381 nucleotides) under uncultured eukaryote. RNAcentral's name for it is "partial 18S ribosomal RNA". It matches the Rfam family "Eukaryotic small subunit ribosomal RNA", at positions 592 to 976 of the family's 1831-position model. The record is from RNAcentral.
CAAUAGCGUAUAUUAAAGCUGUUGCGGUUAAAAAGCUCGUAGUUGGAUUUCUGUCAAGGACAACUGGUCCGCCCUCCGGGUGAGCACAUAGUUUGGUCUUGGCAUCUUGCUGGAAACUGUUGCUGCGCUUGGUUGUGUGGUGCAGCUUUCAGCACUUUCACUUUGAGGAAAUUGGAGUGUUUCAAGCAGGCACAUGCCUUUGGACACAGUAGCAUGGAAUAAUUAGAUUGGGCUUUUGCUCCAACUUGUUGGUUCCUGGAGCUGAGGUGAGAAUCAAUGGGGAUUGUUGGGGGCAUCCGAAUUUAGCCGUCAGAGGUGAAAUUCUUGGAUCUGCUAAAGACGGACAACUGCGAAAGCGUUUGCCCAGGAUGCUUUCAUUGA